UGAGAGUCCUUCCACUGAGUCACAUCCAAA
RNAcentral lists this non-coding RNA (30 nucleotides) under Mus musculus (house mouse). The record is from RNAcentral. Lineage: Eukaryota; Metazoa; Chordata; Mammalia; Rodentia; Muridae.